AGCGAACGCUGGCGGCAGGCUUAACACAUGCAAGUCGAGCGGGCACUUUCGGGUGUCAGCGGCGGACGGGUGAGUAACGCGUGGGAACGUGCCCUCUGGUUCGGAAUAACUCAGGGAAACUUGAGCUAAUACCGGAUACGCCCUUUUGGGGAAAGGCUUGCUGCCGGAGGAUCGGCCCGCGUCUGAUUAGCUAGUUGGUGAGGUAACGGCUCACCAAGGCGACGAUCAGUAGCUGGUCUGAGAGGAUGAUCAGCCACACUGGGACUGAGACACGGCCCAGACUCCUACGGGAGGCAGCAGUGGGGAAUAUUGGACAAUGGGCGCAAGCCUGAUCCAGCCAUGCCGCGGGAGUGAUGAAGGCCUUAGGGUUGUAAAGCUCUUUUAUCCGGGACGAUAAUGACGGUACCGGAGGAAUAAGCCCCGGCUAACUUCGU
RNAcentral lists this ribosomal RNA (434 nucleotides) under uncultured bacterium. RNAcentral's name for it is "partial 16S ribosomal RNA". It matches the Rfam family "Bacterial small subunit ribosomal RNA", at positions 29 to 506 of the family's 1533-position model. The record is from RNAcentral.